UAACUGACGCAGCCUCGCAAAGGAGUCUCAGGCUGGCUUCUUGCAGCCUGCAAGCCUUAAUGGUUCUAUUUUUUCCCCAUCUUCCCUUCGUAGUGAAUUACUAGAACGCAAUCGGGCACACACACAGGCACGUUUCUCAAAGUGUGGGUGCGUGUGCCUGCCUCCUUGCCUCUGUGUGGAUGUCUCUUCCCCUCCCAUCCUCACCAAAGGAGUUCCCGGUUUGGGUGACCCGCAGGAGGGAGAUUGAAGGAGAGGCCUUGCGCCGAGACUGAGGAGGAGGAGGCUGUUUGAAGGGAGAGGAGCAGCCAGGACUCGCCAGCCAUUCUCUACAACUUUUCCUGUGUCUUUCAAAUAACACAGAUGGAAAAUUAUUCUGAAAAGGGAAACCAUUUCUGUAUUUCCAGAAAGUGGAAACCUGUUUUAGAUUUAUAAGCAGGUUGCGGUGGUUUGAGUGUUGAACUACAGCUCUGGAAACCAAGGCUGAAAUCCCUAUUUGAUCGUGGAAAACCAUUGGUUUACCUUGGGAAAGUAAAGGCAUCCCUUUUGAAUAAAUUUUGGCAAGAAACCCCCAUGGAGUUUGACAUGGCAGCCAUGGCAUUACGGGAAAGCUAGCCCAAUCAAGUCACUUUUUCUAAGUGCUGAACUUGGUGAGAAUGAUCUGGCUUUUAAGAUUUCAGAAAUGGCCCUGUUCUCCUGGAAACGAAUGGCAUUUGUUGGGAAGAUGAAACAUACAAUCAGCAAAUGGGAGUAUCAGUUCAGCUGUACAUAUUUUCACCUCCUGCUCCUGUAGACUGAAUAUUGCAAAUGACAAAGCCAAUACCCUAUACAUCCUGGAAUUUGGUUGCCAAAUAUUUCAAGCCCUUUUGGGCACUUGGGUCCUGAUCCUGUCUUUAAGUGCUCUCACCUGCAAAUGUCUCGCUAUGUCUUCACGGUGAAAGGAUUUGAAAGGAUAAUGUGCACAGAAUUCCAGCUGGACCAUAUGCAAUAUAACCGGAAGUAGACUGAAGAAUUUUUAAAAGUUUUCCAGGAAAUGCUGGGAGAUCCAAAUUUCAAGCACUUGUCAUGACAGCUAAAAGAUACAGGCUACUUUAUACAGAUACCAGUCACAGUUGAGAACAAUGGACCUGAAGAAAUAAUGUGUAAGUCACUUGUAUUAUCAGCAUGCCCAGUCUCCUUGCACUUGUUGACCCAAACCCAUUAGCUAUUCUAUUAUUUAUUUAUUUAUUUAUUUACAACAUUUAUAUGCCGCCCUUCUCACCCCGAAGGGGACUCAGAGCGGCUUACAAGUCAUAAGUACAUACAACAUACUACAUAAUACAUAACUAGCAUAGUACUAUUACAUCAUUCAUAACACUAGUACUACAUAAUAUUACAUUAUUGCUAGGGGAGGGGUGCUGAUGUCACAGGGGACAAGAUGUCAAUGUCCUCCUGGCUCCCCUUCUUUAUUCUGGUCCCAGAGUGACCGUUGGU
Anolis sagrei ordinatus is the source of this 1470-nucleotide non-coding RNA. Lineage: Eukaryota; Metazoa; Chordata; Lepidosauria; Squamata; Anolidae. The record is from RefSeq and is a predicted model, not a curated record.